This is a long non-coding RNA of Musca domestica (house fly), 750 nucleotides long. RefSeq lists it as uncharacterized. The record is from RefSeq and is a predicted model, not a curated record. NCBI's taxonomy places the organism in Eukaryota, Metazoa, Arthropoda, Insecta, Diptera, Muscidae. The transcript has 2 exons.
UAUGCAAAAAAAAUUCAAAAUUCUUCUUUUUUCAUAUUUUAAAAUGUUUUUCAUGUUCUUUGGAAGGUAUUUGUGUGUUAAAUCUUUGUUAUAAAACAGUUGCUUGAUUUUUCCCCUUUUUGUUUAGUUGUACUCGUUUUUUGUGGACUUUCUGAUAAACUCCGGAAUACAAGAUUUUCAUUGAAAACAUUUAACUUUAAAAGAAAAUUUGUUAUAUUAAAAUGUACAUAACACUCAUUUCAGUAGCAAACAAUAAAUUGUAACUUAAAGCAUUAGAUCGCGAGGACAAUGUGGAUCCUAGAAUAGAAAAGUAAUAGUUUUAUAGGGUAAGUGUACCAGUAGUCGGCACUUUUAGGAUUUUCGCGUUUUUAAUCGCUCACCAUUCUGAGUGGAACUUUUCAAUUAUUACAAAGUUAAUUAAUUCAGAUUCGAAAUUUUGUAUAGUUUUUGCAAUAAUAAAUAAAGUUUUAAUAACUUUUUAUUAAAUUUCAUAAAUUUGUAGUUUUUUUAAAACAAUGUUUUUUUUUCCAGUAGUCGGCACCACUUGCUAAUUGUCGGUAUGGCAUGUUCCAACAGUCGGCAUACCAAAUUUUUUUUAAACUGAUUCGACGUCUUUAUUGUAUCUUAAGAAUAUGGAUUGUUGAGGACCUUCACAGACAAAAAUUUAAUUUUUAUUAGAAUAAAUCAUCUUUUCUUAGCGAAAUUGAACACAAAGAUAGCUGACAAUAUAUUUGAAGUAAACAAAAUAUA